Molecule: ribosomal RNA, 424 nt
Filed under: uncultured bacterium
Lineage: Bacteria
Description: partial 16S ribosomal RNA
Rfam family: Bacterial small subunit ribosomal RNA
Source: RNAcentral
AAUAUUUGACAAUGGGCGCAAGCCUGAUCCAGCAAUGCCGCGUGUGUGAAGAAGGCCCUCGGGUUGUAAAGCACUUUUAUCAGGAGCGAAAUACCCCGGGUUAAUAACCUACGGGGCUGACGGUACCUGCGGCAUAAGCACCGGCGCACUUCGUGCCAGCAGCCGCGGUAAUACGAAGGGUGCAAGCGUUAAUCGGACUUACUGGGCGUAAAGGGUGCGUAGGCGGUUUGUUAAGUCUGUUGUGAAAUCCCCGGGCUCAACCUGGGAAUGGCAAUGGAUACUGGCAGGCUAGAGUGUGUCAGAGGAUGGUGGAAUUUCCGGUGUAGCGGUGAAAUGCGUAGAGAUCGGAAGGAACAUCAGUGGCGAAGGCGGCCAUCUGGGACAACACUGACGCUGAAGCACGAAAGCGUGGGGAGCAAACAGG